This 104-nucleotide microRNA precursor is filed under the name Canis lupus familiaris (dog). RNAcentral's name for it is "mir-8834 microRNA precursor family". It matches the Rfam family "mir-8834 microRNA precursor family". RNAcentral also lists the same sequence under 1 other name. The record is from Rfam by way of RNAcentral. Lineage: Eukaryota; Metazoa; Chordata; Mammalia; Carnivora; Canidae.
GGGAGGAACAACCGCAGUUGCGGGGCCAGCUUUGGAGCCCUGGAUUCAGCCCCCACAGGAACUACGGAGCUCUCCGUCUGCAGGGCCUGGAGGCUCCGGGCGGG